This 305-nucleotide ribosomal RNA is filed under the name uncultured bacterium. RNAcentral describes it as "bacterial SSU rRNA". It matches the Rfam family "Bacterial small subunit ribosomal RNA", at positions 334 to 636 of the family's 1533-position model. The record is from RNAcentral.
AAUUCCUACGGGACGCAGCAGUGAGGAAUAUUGGUCAAUGGGCGAGAGCCUGAACCAGCCAAGUCGCGUGAAGGAUGACGGCCCUAUGGGUUGUAAACUUCUUUUGUCAGGGAGCAAUUGAGUCCACGUGUGGGCUUAGCGAGAGUACCUGAAGAAAAAGCAUCGGCUAACUCCGUGCCAGCAGCCGCGGUAAUACGGAGGAUGCGAGCGUUAUCCGGAUUUAUUGGGUUUAAAGGGUGCGUAGGCGGUCCGGAAAGUCAGCGGUAAAAGCCCGGGGCUCAACCCCGGCGAGCCGUUGAAACUGU